UCCUAGUUAACCUAGGCAGUCUUGCUAGAGUGCCCAGCUUUACCUGCUGGCAACUAACAAUAAGGGUUGCGCUCGUUGCGGGACUUAACCCAACACCUCACGGCACGAGCUGACGACAGCCAUGCAGCACCUGUAUAGCAGCCCUUGCGGGAAGCCACAUCUCUGCAGCGGUCUACUAUAUGUCAAGUCUGGGUAAGGUUCUUCGCGUUGCAUCGAAUUAAACCACAUGCUCCACUGCUUGUGCGGGCCCCCGUCAAUUCUUUUGAGUUUCACCCUUGCGAGUGUACUCCCCAGGCGGUAUACUUAUCGCGUUAGCUACGACACAACCGGGGUUGAGACCAGUUACAUCAAGUAUACACCGUUUACGGCAAGGACUAC
This 378-nucleotide unclassified non-coding RNA is filed under the name uncultured Chlamydiales bacterium. RNAcentral describes it as "contains 16S-23S intergenic spacer region". Lineage: Bacteria; Pseudomonadati; Chlamydiota; Chlamydiia; Chlamydiales. The record is from RNAcentral.